GACACUCCUGCGGGAGGCAGCAGUGGGGAAUAUUGCACAAUGGGCGCAAGCCUGAUGCAGCCAUGCCGCGUGUAUGAAGAAGGCCUUCGGGUUGUAAAGUACUUUCAGCGGGGAGGAAGGCGAUAAGGUUAAUAACCUUGUUGAUUGACGUUACCCGCAGAAGAAGCACCGGCUAACUCCGUGCCAGCAGCCGCGGUAAUACGGAGGGUGCAAGCGUUAAUCGGAAUUACUGGGCGUAAAGCGCACGCAGGCGGUCUGUCAAGUCGGAUGUGAAAUCCCCGGGCUCAACCUGGGAACUGCAUUCGAAACUGGCAGGCUAGAGUCUUGUAGAGGGGGGUAGAAUUCCAGGUGUAGCGGUGAAAUGCGUAGAGAUCUGGAGGAAUACCGGUGGCGAAGGCGGCCCCCUGGACAAAGACUGACGCUCAGGUGCGAAAGCGUGGGGAGCAAACAGGAUUAGAAACCCCGGUAGUCCC
RNAcentral lists this ribosomal RNA (473 nucleotides) under uncultured organism. RNAcentral describes it as "partial 16S ribosomal RNA". It matches the Rfam family "Bacterial small subunit ribosomal RNA", at positions 332 to 797 of the family's 1533-position model. The record is from RNAcentral.